UGGCUAAGUGGUAAAGCGCUUGGCUUCCAAACUAGGGGUUCUGGGUUCUAAUCCUGG
Biomphalaria glabrata is the source of this 57-nucleotide non-coding RNA. The record is from Rfam. NCBI's taxonomy places the organism in Eukaryota, Metazoa, Mollusca, Gastropoda, Planorbidae.